RNAcentral lists this long non-coding RNA (5150 nucleotides) under Paramuricea clavata. Lineage: Eukaryota; Metazoa; Cnidaria; Anthozoa; Malacalcyonacea; Plexauridae. The record is from RNAcentral.
UACGAUAUAUUAAUUUGAAGCUUGCAAUUUAUGCAAAUGCCGAGGAGCUUUGCCCUGUCGGAAACCUGGGGCGAUUACCCGCCAUGUUGCAAUUUUCCCGCCUUUUUUUUCAGCCAUAUUGAUUAUUUUGUUCGUCGUUCUUGCUUCAAAGUGAGCUGCAGUUUUUUAUUGUAUUUCGUUUCUCAAUCUUCUUGAAACAACAACAAUGAACUGGGGUGGAGGUGGUAUGUAUUGAGUGUCUUCUGGAGGCAUUUUAUAAACUAUAUUGUAUAAUAAUACCUUCGUAUGAGUAGAAUAUGAGUAUAUGAUAAUAUUACCUCUGAAUUUGAUUCAGAUCUUGAUUUAAAUAGUAGAUUACAAUAUUAAGACAUUGAUGACCAUUUCUGCCGACAGAUUAAACAGAUCCCCAAGCAGACCUUUCAAGUUGAUCACAUUCUGUAAUGAGAUAGACGGGGGCAUGAUCCCCAGAAAAUUUUGAAAUCUAUGCUGCCUCUGGGCAAAUUGUAACAAGACAAAAUAUAUUAAACUGCACAUAAUUUUCAGCUGCACCAUCUAGCUAUGUUGUUUUCUAGCGUGAUCAAUUUUUGUCUUGAUAUAUGGCUAUAAAGGUCCAUUCCAUUUAAUCCCCNNNNNNNNNNNNNNNNNNNNCCCCCCCCCCCCCCCAUGGACGAGGUCAAUAAAAUUUGAACCCCUAAGAAAAAAAGAUAAAAGUGCCGACACAAACAACCACCCCCCCCAGAAAUAAAUAAAUUUUUGCCUUACCCCUCAGAAAGAACGCAAAGAUGAAAGGAUGCUGAUGCAGACAACCCCUCAGAAAUGGCUUUCUCAAACUACCUCAGAAAUUCUCGUCCAUAGGGGAUAUUAAAUGGAAUGGCCCAAAGCGUGAUGGAAACCAGACACCGUUCUGUAGCACAGUUUAAUUGAGAAUUAAAAGAAAGUUGGGGAAAGAAAGUUUUAAAAAAUUGAGCAAAAUUUCUAAAUCAGACAAAAACAAUCCGACCUACUUUCGAAAGGAAAUCAAUCUAGACCUCGUUUAACUACGCACACACACAUUACGCUAUCGACAAGCUUGUUGAAUUCAUUUGGAAAAAAUACAUUUUUAUGUUUUUAUAGUAAUAUACAGGGUGUCUAAAAAACGCAAUGGAAAUUCAACAGGCUGUCGUGCAUCAUAAACUUGGCUAAACAAUUCAAUUUUUACAUAGGACGAACGAGCUGUUAUUUAGCUUUUCUAUGAUACCUUUUUAAAUUGUAACGAUGAGAAAUGGCCACAUAGUCGUCAAAUCAAAAUUGCCAUUUGAAAUCACAUUCUUCCACCAUUGGGAAUUGAAAAUACAUUAAUUAUGCAAAGUUAAUUAAUGGGUCGUUCCAGAAAACAUCCAUACCUCUCCCACGGAGGAAAUUGGAAUUUAACACCCCCCCCCCCCNNNNNNNNNNNNNNNNNNNNGCCAAAAAAAAUAUGUAGGUUAGGGAUGAGCCGAUAAGGAAAAUUGCUGAUUACUGAGGCCGAGUAUUUAUAAGCCGAUUAUCGUAACUAAUCGGCCGAUUAUCGUAACUAAUCGGCCGAUUAAUCGGCGCCUGCCGAUUAUUUUGAAAAGCAAGAGAAAAGAUGAUCAACAAUGAAGUUGUAAAUGCGGUUUUAUUGUUUACAAUACACACUACUAUGUACAAUUAAAAUCAGCUUCAAUCUCGCAGGAUAUUGUCAGCUUUAAUGCGGAGCUAGUCUGCUGCGUUUUUCAGUGGAAAAGGUUUGUCAUGGUGAACUGUUUGCAUGUUUUUCCUCUGACGAUUACGAUUCGAGAGCUUUUUUCCUGGUAAAAUUUACACAAAUGUUGCUUUCGUGUUGUCAUCUUCCAAAAUAUCAAAAUAUGUCCAAAAGUUCUGCGCUUUUCACAGUGUGCGCCAUUAGGUUCUGGACAAAAUAACUCCGAGCAAUUUUCCCCAAUGCAUUUUAUUACAAAUAUCAGUAUUAGUUUAAGCCAAUCAGAAAACAGAAUAUGGUAUGACUCAACGCAUAGGUGUUUUAACUGUUUUUAAUGACUUCCUCAAAGACGCAGGUUUUGAGACAAAAGAUGCAGGUUUUGCAACAAAAUGUGAAAAUAUAUUCGCUUGUAUUCAGUAUUUUAGGCAUGCACUUGGCAGCUGCAGAAAAAGUCUUAUGGCCGAUUAUUUGCCGAUUAUCAGAUAAUAAUCGGCCGAUUACCGAUUAUUAAAAAAUGGCUGAUUAAUCGGUAAAACGAUUAUUUACCGAUUAAUCGGUUCAUCCCUAAUGUGGGUUUCCUAUUUCUUCUUGUAAAAACUUAGGUUCGUUUUAACUUUUUUUUUAAACUUUUUUUUAAUUUUCCUAACAACCGGACGCCAUUUUGUUUAGUCAGUGCUUCUACAUCCAAAGAUAAAUUUCCCUAAUAUUGCCUCAAAUUUUCAUUUUCCACAAACGUUUUCCUCUAAUUGGAAACUAGUGAUGGGCGAUACCACCAGUAUCGGUUUCCAUACGAUACCGAUUACUUUUUGGUUAAAGUAUCGAGGUAUCGAUUACCCAAACAAUUACUUCCUCCAAUUUUCAAAAUAAUAAAUGUAAGUCACUUAAUAAAGAGCCGACUGUUAAAGAAGUAGCCUUCUACUGUAACAAUAUAUUUUCAGAAAGUUGCAUAUUUUUAACAGUAACGAUUUGAUCCGCCAUUUUAAUCCAUAAAAAACAAAAAUUACUUUAUUUCCCGCCUUUUUCAUAAUUUAUUCUGUCUGCGAGGAUAGAAUGUCAAAUAAAGAUCAUUAAAGAAAAAGGAAGUUAAUUGAUUAAAUUGAUAAAUGCAGCAGAAUACAAAAAAAGUACAUAAAUUUUAUUAGAAAUAACCAUGAAAACGAUGACACAACUACAGGAUUAUAAUGAAUGUCUAAUUUUAAAAGUAAUCGAAACACUUUUUCGAUACCGUGCAGUAUCGACUACUUCCUGCUUGGGACUGGUAUCGGGUGGUAUCGAUACCAAGUAAUCGGUAAUCGCCCAUCACUAUUGGAAACACUUACAAGCAUGAUCCAAUAAAAAAGUUUAGGGUUGGGAUUUUUGCAUCCAAAAGCUUGGGGUCGGGAAACCGGAAACCCACAUAUUUUUUUUGCCUAAUACACUUACUAUUAUCAGAAACAAUUUUUUCUUCCCUCCCCCUAGACGCAGUAUUUAGGCACUGGUGUAAAGUGCAAUGCUGUGGAGCAUGCACAAAACAAGUGCAAAGACAUACUAUUUUUAAAUAAAUGCCAAUGCUUAUGAUUCCUAAUAAACUGACAGAGGUCAUUACUUAAAAAACUAUUUGGGCACUGCAAUUUGAUGAUGAUGCCUAAUAAGAGUUUAUAAGUUACUGUAAAUCACCCCAUGACGCCAAAUUAUUUGGUACCGGCACUAUGAAAUAAGACACAGUCGGUAAAAAUGUUUAUGUGAGUUAAAUUAUUCUAAAGCAUUCGCCAUGCAGGUAUUGUGGUGAUAUUGUCCCACUGAGUGGCUGCACUCUCCCCCUGAUGAGUAAAAUUGUCUGAGGCUAGACAGAGUGAAAUAAUAAAGGGUGCAUCUGGGUGCAUUGCCACUUAAAGGGUUAACAGGGUGCAUCAUGCGCAGAUAGUCUGAUUAACUCAUUGAGUGGCAGCAAUCUUACCCUGAUGAGUAAAAUUGUCGGGGGCUAUACAGAGUAAAAUAAUAAAGGGUGUGUAAUAAUAAAAUCUGGGUGCAUUGCCACUUAAAGGGUUAACAUGACACUUUAUGAUUUUAUAGGAAAUCAAUUUGGGGACAGUAAGGUAAGUUGCUAUGUAAUCCUAUACACACUAGGAAUAUAAGACAAUGUUAAAGCGUUAGCCGGUUCACACUAGCAAUUUUCUGGGCAAUUUUUGUCUCCUGAUGGUGCGAAAGUACUAUACUCCAAAAGUAGGUAGUUGCUUUUUGGGAGUAUACAUUUCUACUGUACUACUACAGAGCUUUCAAAGUAGGGUGCACAAAUGUGAUGGAAUUGUUAUUGAACAUUUAUUUGGUUUUUCCAAUCCUCAUUCAUCCCAUUGAAACUAUACUGUAGCUAAGCUUAGCUUGUUCAGCUAAAUUAUCAAACAUACAAAAUGUACAAAAAUUCUUAUACAUAAUACAAAACUUAUUUCAUUAGUACAAAUAUUCCUUCCUACAUUGAGGACAGCAGCAUAUUGACCACAGCUGCAUACUGUACUUUGAAAGAUUGUGCAGAAGUAAAAUUUGAAUACUGUGAUUGAAACUGUGCUACUAACAGCUAUCAAAAUAUAUUGACAAGUGUGAAAAGUGAUUCUAAUAAAGCAUUGCUUUUUUUUAUAUUGCGGUAAAAGCAAAACAAUUUCCAGCCUACUUGGAAAUCCUAUAUAUAUAUAAUCUAAAUUUCCCAAAAGACUGGAGAUUUUAAUUCAUUAAGUUGCAUUAUUCCCUAAUGUGCCCAAUUUUAUUAUUUAACUUAAAAUGAGGAAAUUUUACUUAUCAACAGGAAAGUGUUGUGAAAGGGUGAAGAUUUCAGACUGUCCAUACAUGUGUCUAUUUGUUACAUUUAUAUAAUAACAUUAAGAAUUCAAGCGCUUUCAUUGGUCGAGAGCCAUGAUCUAUUAGAGGACAGACCAUAGAUAUCUUAUAAGAUAUCUAUGGGACAGACGCACAGAAUUACGUCACACAAAAGUGACAAAACUUUGUUCUGUGCAGCCAAUCACAACAAUUAGCAUGUGACUUAAGGUAGCCAAUAGCAUUCCCUUAUUUGUAUAGAUCAUGUACUGUGUACAUGAUAUUUGUAAAAUUUGAUUUUUUCAAAUUUCGAAAUGUUUGGGUGGAUAAAAAUUAAGCUAUUUACCUGUUUAAUUCAGGGUUUUUCUUUUUAUUACAUAAAACAAAUAGAUAAGAUUUUGCCAUUGUUUGUUCAGUUAGAGAUGCACAGCAUGACGUCAUAAUGUGGGAAGAACAAAAAGUGGUCACGAGCCGCCGAGGCUGUUCUUUCCACAUUAUGACGUCAUACUGUGUAUCUAUAACUGAACAGACAACAGCAAAAUCUUAUGUAUUUGUUAAUCUGAUUAUGACUGGAUCUUUUCAGAUGUCAUCCUUCAGCAGUCCUGGAGCAGGUGGUGGAUUUCUGGAUGGAACAUUUGGUGAAUCACCUGCGUCUCAACGCAUUAAG